ACUUUUUCCAGCUUGCGGACUUCUUUUUCUUAAAUAAUUUUUUCGCGUCGUUAACAGAUUUACAAUAUAUAGUGUAGUUUUCAUAUGUAGAAUUAUUGUUAUAAUUUCUUUCAGCCUGUUUUCUUUUAUUUAUAGCGGCUGAACAGUCAAUGUCCCACCAAGGAGGUGAUGGGGAGAGAAAUGAGAAUGGGAAAGUGAUCACUACCGUGACUAUAUGAUAAAACUGACCAAUGUAAAAGAGAUGAUAGAUUUGAAGUACAAAUAGAUAAAUCGGGAGCACUAUAACCCUCAUUGGGUGCAGUAUGCCUCGUUGGAAACCCUGUAUUGAGAAUGCAUAACUUGUGGAAAUCUAAUAAAUCUAAUAUUUCGAAACCCCAUUGAUUAUUAUUACUGCUACCCCAAGACAAGUGUUGAGCAUUAAAAUCACCAAGAAUUAUAAAAGGUUUUGGUAAAUUGCUUAUUAAAUUUCUAAUUUCUAAAAAUAUAGAAUAGGAUGGAUGAGGAAUAUACAAUGACACAAAACAGAUGUUAUUUACAGAUGCAGCAAUUAUAGAGACAUUGGGAUUAUGUAAUGGAAGUGAAAUAUGUACAUAUGAAUGAUGAUGGUUGAUGAGUAAAGCGGUACCGCCAAACCCAUCGGAUCUGUCCUCUCUUAUACAGGGCGUUUGCGGUUUGAAGAUGAAUUAUUAUUAAUCGAAGAGUCAGUGUCCAUAGAAGAAUCAUUAAUUUCUGUUGUCUGAACAGUUAUAAAUUGGCCAGCAGGGGGGCACUCCGGCCCCCCCGGGUCCACAUCCAUAUUUACAAAAUACUAUAUACAAGAGACUUACCA
Long non-coding RNA from Aricia agestis (brown argus), 829 nucleotides. RefSeq lists it as uncharacterized. The transcript has 3 exons. NCBI's taxonomy places the organism in Eukaryota, Metazoa, Arthropoda, Insecta, Lepidoptera, Lycaenidae. The record is from RefSeq and is a predicted model, not a curated record.